Molecule: transfer RNA, 77 nt
Filed under: Suttonella indologenes
Lineage: Bacteria; Pseudomonadati; Pseudomonadota; Gammaproteobacteria; Cardiobacteriales; Cardiobacteriaceae
Also listed under: 2 other names
Description: tRNA-Met(cat)
Rfam family: tRNA
About the family: Transfer RNA (tRNA) molecules are approximately 80 nucleotides in length. Their secondary structure includes four short double-helical elements and three loops (D, anti-codon, and T loops).
Source: RNAcentral
UGCGGGAUGGAGCAGUCUGGUAGCUCGUCGGGCUCAUAACCCGAAGGUCGUUGGUUCGAAUCCAGCUCCCGCUUCCA